This 440-nucleotide ribosomal RNA is filed under the name uncultured bacterium. RNAcentral describes it as "partial 16S ribosomal RNA". It matches the Rfam family "Bacterial small subunit ribosomal RNA", at positions 338 to 795 of the family's 1533-position model. The record is from RNAcentral.
CCUACGGGUGGCAGCAGUGGGGAAUAUUGCACAAUGGGGGGAACCCUGAUGCAGCGACGCCGCGUGAGUGAAGAAGUAUUUCGGUAUGUAAAGCUCUAUCAGCAGGGAAGAAAAUGACGGUACCUGACUAAGAAGCCCCGGCUAACUACGUGCCAGCAGCCGCGGUAAUACGUAGGGGGCAAGCGUUAUCCGGAUUUACUGGGUGUAAAGGGAGCGCAGACGGCUGUGCAAGUCUGGAGUGAAAGGCGGGGGCGCAACCCCCGGACUGCUCUGGAAACUGUAAAGCUGGAGUGCAGGAGAGGUAAGCGGAAUUCCUAGUGUAGCGGUGAAAUGCGUAGAUAUUAGGAGGAACACCAGUGGCGAAGGCGGCUUACUGGACUGCAACUGACGUUGAGGCUCGAAAGCGUGGGGAGCAAACAGGAUUAGAUACCCCUGUAGUC